GUGAAGAGCGCCAGCGCCAAGACCCGGCUCGCUGGCCAGCAACCCUUCGACGUGACGGGGUGCUCCGGGUGGUACCUGACCGCGACCCGUCGGGCGCGGUAAGC
This 104-nucleotide non-coding RNA is filed under the name Oerskovia paurometabola. Its description in RNAcentral is "S-adenosyl methionine (SAM) riboswitch". It matches the Rfam family "SAM (S-adenosyl methionine) riboswitch aptamer". From Rfam's summary of the family: SAM-IV is a mRNA element that regulates gene expression via direct sensing of S-adenosylmethionine (SAM or AdoMet). SAM-IV riboswitches share conserved nucleotide positions with the previously described SAM-I riboswitches sequence analysis and molecular recognition experiments suggest that SAM-I and SAM-IV riboswitches share similar ligand binding sites, but have different scaffolds. RNAcentral also lists the same sequence under 1 other name. The record is from RNAcentral. Lineage: Bacteria; Bacillati; Actinomycetota; Actinomycetes; Micrococcales; Cellulomonadaceae.